AGAAGACACAGGUAUGCCUCAGUAACGGCGAGUGAAGCGGCAAAAGCUCAAAUUUGGAAUCUCAGUCUUUCAGGCUGCGAGUUGUAAUUUGAAGACGUAUUUUGAAGUAAGCACAUGUCGAAGUUCCUUGGAACAGGACGUCACAGAGGGUGAGAAUCCCGUGCGAUGUGUUCACUGCUUCAUGUAAAAUGCAGUCGAAGAGUCGAGUUGUUUGGGAAUGCAGCUCUAAGUGGGUGGUAAAUUCCAUCUAAAGCUAAAUAUUGGCGAGAGACCGAUAGCGAACAAGUACAGUGAUGGAAAGAUGAAAAGAACUUUGAAAAGAGAGUGAAAAAGUACGUGAAAUUGUUGAAAGGGAAGGGCUUGAGAUUAGACUCGGGCAACCGGGCCAGCAUGGGGUGGGGGAGUAGGAUAACCCUGCAGGAAAGUGGCUUCGCUUCGGUGGAGUGUUAUAGCCUGUAGCUAUACUGCUACCCUCGCCCGAGGACUGCGGAAACAAGGAUGCUGGCAUAAUGAUCUUAAGCCGCCCGUCUUGAAACACGGACCAAGGAGUCUAACGUCUAUGCGAGUGUUUGGG
Molecule: ribosomal RNA, 574 nt
Filed under: Hyphopichia burtonii
Lineage: Eukaryota; Fungi; Ascomycota; Pichiomycetes; Serinales; Debaryomycetaceae
Description: LSU rRNA
Rfam family: Eukaryotic large subunit ribosomal RNA
Source: RNAcentral